AUUUUAGUUUAAUAAAAAUAAAUUAUUUACAAUUAUUAGAUAUUUAUAUAUAAAUAAUACAUA
RNAcentral lists this transfer RNA (63 nucleotides) under Trichopria drosophilae. RNAcentral describes it as "tRNA-Val". Lineage: Eukaryota; Metazoa; Arthropoda; Insecta; Hymenoptera; Diapriidae. The record is from RNAcentral.